This 449-nucleotide ribosomal RNA is filed under the name uncultured bacterium. RNAcentral's name for it is "bacterial SSU rRNA". It matches the Rfam family "Bacterial small subunit ribosomal RNA", at positions 29 to 524 of the family's 1533-position model. The record is from RNAcentral.
AGCGAACGCUGGCGGCAGGCCUAACACAUGCAAGUCGAACGGAUCCUUCGGGAUUAGUGGCGGACGGGUGAGUAACACGUGGGAACGUGCCUUUUGGUUCGGAACAACUCAGGGAAACUUGAGCUAAUACCGAAUGUGCCCUUCGGGGAAAGAUUAUCGCCAUUAGAGCGGCCCGCGUCUGAUUAGCUAGUUGGUGAGGUAAAGGCUCACCAAGGCUACGAUCAGUAGCUGGUCUGAGAGGAUGAUCAGCCACAUUGGGACUGAGACACGGCCCAAACUCCUACGGGAGGCAGCAGUGGGGAAUCUUGCGCAAUGGGCGAAAGCCUGACGCAGCCAUGCCGCGUGAAUGAUGAAGGUCUUAGGAUUGUAAAAUUCUUUCUACCGGGGACGAUAAUGACGGUACCCGGAGAAGAAGCCCCGGCUAACUUCGUGCCAGCAGCCGCGGUAAU